Molecule: ribosomal RNA, 473 nt
Filed under: Escherichia coli
Lineage: Bacteria; Pseudomonadati; Pseudomonadota; Gammaproteobacteria; Enterobacterales; Enterobacteriaceae
Description: bacterial SSU rRNA
Rfam family: Bacterial small subunit ribosomal RNA
Source: RNAcentral
AAAUUGAAGAGUUUGAUCAUGGCUCAGAUUGAACGCUGGCGGCAGGCCUAACACAUGCAAGUCGAACGGUAACAGGAAGAAGCUUGCUUCUUUGCUGACGAGUGGCGGACGGGUGAGUAAUGUCUGGGAAAUUGCCUGAUGGAGGGGGAUAACUACUGGAAACGGUAGCUAAUACCGCAUAACGUCGCAAGACCAAAGAGGGGGACCUUCGGGCCUCUUGCCAUCGGAUGUGCCCAGAUGGGAUUAGCUUGUUGGUGGGGUAACGGCUCACCAAGGCGACGAUCCCUAGCUGGUCUGAGAGGAUGACCAGCCACACUGGAACUGAGACACGGUCCAGACUCCUACGGGAGGCAGCAGUGGGGAAUAUUGCACAAUGGGCGCAAGCCUGAUGCAGCCAUGCCGCGUGUAUGAAGAAGGCCUUCGGGUUGUAAAGUACUUUCAGCGGGGAGGAAGGGAGUAAAGUUAAUACCUUU